AAAAACUUAAGUUAAAGAAACUAUUGACCUUCAAAGUCAAACAUAGAAUAAAUUCUAGUUUUUA
Molecule: transfer RNA, 64 nt
Filed under: Trigonopterus kotamobagensis
Lineage: Eukaryota; Metazoa; Arthropoda; Insecta; Coleoptera; Curculionidae
Description: tRNA-Trp
Source: RNAcentral